This 315-nucleotide ribosomal RNA is filed under the name uncultured bacterium. RNAcentral's name for it is "bacterial SSU rRNA". It matches the Rfam family "Bacterial small subunit ribosomal RNA", at positions 28 to 334 of the family's 1533-position model. The record is from RNAcentral.
GAUGAACGCUAGCUACAGGCUUAACACAUGCAAGUCGAGGGGCAGCAUGGUCUUAGCUUGCUAAGGCCGAUGGCGACCGGCGCACGGGUGAGUAACACGUAUCCAACCUGCCGUCUACUCUUGGACAGCCUUCUGAAAGGAAGAUUAAUACAAGAUGGCAUCAUGAGUCCGCAUGUUCACAUGAUUAAAGGUGUUCCGGUAGACGAUGGGGAUGCGUUCCAUUAGAUAGUAGGCGGGGUAACGGCCCACCUAGGCUACGAUGGAUAGGGGUUCUGAGAGGAAGGUCCCCCACAUUGGAACUGAGACACGGUCCAA